Molecule: ribosomal RNA, 403 nt
Filed under: uncultured bacterium
Lineage: Bacteria
Description: partial 16S ribosomal RNA
Rfam family: Bacterial small subunit ribosomal RNA
Source: RNAcentral
GACGAACGCUGGCGGCGUGCCUAAUACAUGCAAGUCGAACGCAGUGGGGACGGGUGCGUAACACGUGGGUAACCUCCCAUCAGAGGGGAUAACACUUGGAAACAGGUGCUAAACCGCUACUGAUGGAUGGACCCGCGGUGCAUUAGCUAGUUGGUGGGGUAACGGCUCACCAAGGCCACGAUGCAGAGCCGAGCUGAGAGGGUGAUCGGCCACACUGGGACUGAGACACGGCCCAGAGGCCUACGGGAGGCAGCAGGAGGGAAUCUUCGGCAAUGGACGAAAGGCUGACCGAGCAACGCCGCGUGAGUGAAGAAGGUGUUCGGAGGGUAAAACUCUGUUGUUGGAGAAGCGGUAUCUAACCAGAAAGCCACGGCUAACUACGUGCCAGCAGCCGCGGUAAGUC